RNAcentral lists this ribosomal RNA (443 nucleotides) under fungal sp. RNAcentral describes it as "SSU rRNA". It matches the Rfam family "Eukaryotic small subunit ribosomal RNA", at positions 634 to 1077 of the family's 1831-position model. The record is from RNAcentral. Lineage: Eukaryota; Fungi.
UUGAAAUUCGGGGAUCAAUAUGUUGGUCGUGCCUUGGUACGUACUGGCGUCAUUGGUUUCUACCUUCUGAAGAACCCUCGAUGUCAUUAAUUUGGUGUCUUGGGGGAAUCAGGACUGUUACUUUGAAAAAUUUAGAGUGUUUAAAGCAAGCUCACCGCUUGAAUACAUUAGCAUGGAAUAAUGAAAUAGGACGUUUGAUUCUAUUUGUUGGUUUCUAGGAUCGACGUAAUGAUUAAUAGGGAUAGUUGGGGGCAUUAGUAUUCAAUUGUCAGAGGUGAAAUUCUUGGAUUUAUUGAAGACUAACUACUGCGAAAGCAUUUGCCAAGGAUGUUUUCAUUAAUCAAGAACGAAAGUUAGGGGAUCGAAGACGAUCAGAUACCGUCGUAGUCUUAACCAUAAACUAUGCCGACUAGGGAUCGGAUGAUGUUAAUUUUUAAUGACUC